Molecule: ribosomal RNA, 253 nt
Filed under: uncultured bacterium
Lineage: Bacteria
Description: partial 16S ribosomal RNA
Rfam family: Bacterial small subunit ribosomal RNA
Source: RNAcentral
UACGUAGGGUGCAAGCGUUGUCCGGAAUUAUUGGGCGUAAAGAGCUCGUAGGCGGUCUGUCGCGUCUGCUGUGAAAACUCAGGGCUUAACCCUGAGCUUGCAGUGGGUACGGGCAGACUAGAGUGCGGUAGGGGAGACUGGAAUUCCUGGUGUAGCGGUGAAAUGCGCAGAUAUCAGGAGGAACACCGGUGGCGAAGGCGGGUCUCUGGGCCGAUACUGACGCUGAGGAGCGAAAGCGUGGGGGGCGAACAGG